This 468-nucleotide ribosomal RNA is filed under the name uncultured bacterium. RNAcentral's name for it is "partial 16S ribosomal RNA". It matches the Rfam family "Bacterial small subunit ribosomal RNA", at positions 28 to 507 of the family's 1533-position model. The record is from RNAcentral.
GACGAACGCUGGCGGCGUGCUUAGCACAUGCAAGUCGAACGGAAAGGCCCUGCUUUUGUGGGGUGCUCGAGUGGCGAACGGGUGAGUAACACGUGAGUAACCUGCCCUUGACUUUGGGAUAACUUCAGGAAACUGGGGCUAAUACCGGAUAGGAGCUCCUGCUGCAUGGUGGGGGUUGGAAAGUUUCGGCGGUUGGGGAUGGACUCGCGGCUUAUCAGCUUGUUGGUGGGGUAGUGGCUUACCAAGGCUUUGACGGGUAGCCGGCCUGAGAGGGUGACCGGCCACAUUGGGACUGAGAUACGGCCCAGACUCCUACGGGAGGCAGCAGUGGGGAAUAUUGCACAAUGGGCGGAAGCCUGAUGCAGCAACGCCGCGUGCGGGAUGACGGCCUUCGGGUUGUAAACCGCUUUCGCCUGUGACGAAGCGUGAGUGACGGUAAUGGGUAAAGAAGCACCGGCUAACUACGCG